RNAcentral lists this long non-coding RNA (690 nucleotides) under Populus trichocarpa (black cottonwood). Its description in RNAcentral is "long non-coding RNA (PTRI_LNC004779)". Lineage: Eukaryota; Viridiplantae; Streptophyta; Magnoliopsida; Malpighiales; Salicaceae. The record is from RNAcentral.
UAGUAGUAUUUCCUCUGUUGCCAUUCUGUGAUUUUCUAUUCCUGAAAGAAUAGGUGCUGGGAGUAAUUGGGAUUAAGGUGUAGGCGGAGGGGUCAAAGAAAGAACUAAAAAUGUUAAACAUGACUGAGUGAUUGAAGUUCAAUAUACUAUCACUUGAAAAUUUUUCAAGUAUGAUGUUCCAGGAAGAAACUUCGGCCACAAAAGCAGCAUGCUUCCAUCCAAGGAAAUAUGGAAACUAACGUUUACAACUUGAGACCAGAAAAUUAAAAUAAUGUUACUGAUUCUAGGCUGGGAACCAAUGCUGCCCCAAAGUUAUACUGGUUCCCGCACAACAUUGUUAUAGCAUGCCACUAAGAUCUGUUGCCUUCCAUCGCUAAACAAACUACAGCACCAACGAUAGCAACAUGUACAUGUAUGAUGGAAUAAUAAACGUAAUUUAACUAUGUUGUGUAUGCCCUCGCAUCAUAAGAUACACCAAGACUCAGUUCCAUCCAGAAUGUCCACCAUUUCAAACAAAAUUUCCUCCUUUUUUUUUUUUUUCCUUUGAUUUGCUUGCAAAUGACCAUAAAGAUCAAUUUCUACCAUAUAGCAUUAACCAUGGAUUGUCACUUGCCAGCUUCUAACACUUUCCUGGUUUGUUUUUCUUCGGCCAACUCAUUGGCAUUUUGAGUAUUUGACGAGCAUAGAAGG